This 697-nucleotide ribosomal RNA is filed under the name Gottfriedia luciferensis. Its description in RNAcentral is "bacterial SSU rRNA". It matches the Rfam family "Bacterial small subunit ribosomal RNA", at positions 757 to 1459 of the family's 1533-position model. Lineage: Bacteria; Bacillati; Bacillota; Bacilli; Caryophanales; Bacillaceae. The record is from RNAcentral.
AAGCUGGGGAGAAACAGGAUUAGAUACCCUGGUAGUCCACGCUGUAACGAUGAGUGUAAGUGUUAGAGGGUUUCCGCCCUUUAGUGCUGAAGUUAACGCAUAAGCACUCCGCCUGGGGAGUACGGUCGCAAGACUGAAACUCAAAGGAAUUGACGGGGGCCGCACAAGUGGUGGAGCAUGUGGUUUAAUUCGAAGCAACGCGAAGAACCUUACCAGGUCUUGACAUCCUCUGACAACCCUAGAGAUAGGGCUUUCCCUUCGGGGACAGAGUGACAGGUGGUGCAUGGUUGUCGUCAGCUCGUGUCGUGAGAUGUUGGGUUAAGUCCCGCAACGAGCGCAACCCUUGAUCUUAGUUGCCAGCAUUCAGUUGGGCACUCUAAGGUGACUGCCGGUGACAAACCGGAGGAAGGUGGGGAUGACGUCAAAUCAUCAUGCCCCUUAUGACCUGGGCUACACACGUGCUACAAUGGAUAGUACAAAGGGUUGCAAGACCGCGAGGUGGAGCUAAUCCCAUAAAACUAUUCUCAGUUCGGAUUGUAGGCUGCAACUCGCCUACAUGAAGCCGGAAUCACUAGUAAUCGCGGAUCAGCAUGCCGCGGUGAAUACGUUCCCGGGCCUUGUACACACCGCCCGUCACACCACGAGAGUUUGUAACACCCGAAGUCGGUGGGGUAACCUUUUAGGGGCCAGCCGCUAC